UCUUGGAACCCCAGUUUCUACAUCUAGAAAAAGGGGCAGAAUAGUAUCAGAAAUGCUUCACUCUCAGGACUAUGGGGAGCAUAAAAUUAAAUAAUGAAAAAAAGGUCAACUAUAAAGCACUAAGGAAAGCUUUGUAUGAGUCCACUUGGAUUCUCACCUAAGGAAGAUCAUCUGGAAACACCAAAAGCACCAGUGUAGAUGCAAGAGAUGGUGAAGACCUGAGGCCUACCGCUGCCUUCUGCCAGCCCUGCAGUUCUGAAAGAAUGAGGGCCCGUGGGCAAUUGGGAGUGACAUGUCCUUGACACAUUGAGUUAGCUGUGCCCUGAAGGCCCAAAGUGAUUUGAAGCAUGAUUUUAAUGACUGUCAUUAUUUCUGUCAUUACUACCGGCCAAUAAAAACCAUCAUCAGCUUGA
This is a long non-coding RNA of Cebus imitator (Panamanian white-faced capuchin), 413 nucleotides long. RefSeq lists it as uncharacterized. The transcript has 2 exons. NCBI's taxonomy places the organism in Eukaryota, Metazoa, Chordata, Mammalia, Primates, Cebidae. The record is from RefSeq and is a predicted model, not a curated record.